CGGCUGCUCAGUACCCCGUAGUCAACUUACCCUAUGGACGAGGAUAAUCUCGGGAAACUGAGCAUAAUACUCGAUAGAUCAUAAUGCCUGGAAUGGUUUAUGGUUGAAAUGAUUCAUCGCCAUAGGAUGGGACUGCGGCCUAUCAGCUUGUUGGUGAGGUAAUGGCCCACCAAGGCGAUUACAGGUACGGGCUCUGAGAGGAGAAGCCCGGAGAUGGGUACUGAGACAAGGACCCAGGCCCUAUGGGGCGCAGCAGGCGAGAAAACUUUGCAAUGUGCGAAAGCACGACAAGGUUAAUCCGAGUGAUUUCUGCUAAAGAAAUCUUUUGCAAGUCAUAAAACCACUAGUGAAUAAGGGGUGGGCAAGUUCUGGUGUCAGCCGCCGCGGUAAAACCAGCACCUCAAGUGGUCAGGAGGAUUAUUGGGCCUAAAGCAUCCGUAGCCGGCUCUGUAAGUUUUCGGUUAAAUCCAUGUGCUCAACGCAUGGGCUGCCGAAAAUACUGCAUAGCUAGGGAGUGGGAGAGGUAGACGGUACUCGGUAGGAAGGGGUAAAAUCCUUUGAUCUAUCGAUGACCACCUGUGGCGAAGGCGGUCUACCAGAACACGUUCGACGGUGAGGGAUGAAAGCUGGGGGAGCAAACCGGAUUAGAUACCCGGGUAGUCCCAGCUGUAAACGAUGCAGACUCGAUGAUGCAUUGGCAUAUAGCCAGUGCAGUGUCGCAGGGAAGCCGUUAAGUCUGCCGCCUGGGAAGUACGUACGCAGUAUGAAACUUAAAAGGAAUUGGCGGGGAGCAG
RNAcentral lists this ribosomal RNA (794 nucleotides) under uncultured marine thaumarchaeote. RNAcentral's name for it is "bacterial SSU rRNA". It matches the Rfam family "Archaeal small subunit ribosomal RNA", at positions 83 to 879 of the family's 1478-position model. Lineage: Archaea; Thermoproteati; Nitrososphaerota. The record is from RNAcentral.